UACGUAGGGGGCGAGCGUUGUCCGGAAUGACUGGGCGUAAAGCGCGCGCAGGCGGUUUUUCGCGUCUGAGGUGAAAGGCUGGGGCUCAACCCCGGUAUGCCUUGGAAACGGGAAGACUUGAGUACUGGAGAGGCAAGGGGAAUUCCACGUGUAGCGGUGAAAUGCGUAGAGAUGUGGAGGAAUACCAGUGGCGAAGGCGCCUUGCUGGACAGAAACUGACGCUGAGGCGCGAAGGCGUGGGGAGCAAACAGG
This 252-nucleotide ribosomal RNA is filed under the name uncultured Alicyclobacillus sp. RNAcentral describes it as "partial 16S ribosomal RNA". It matches the Rfam family "Bacterial small subunit ribosomal RNA", at positions 524 to 776 of the family's 1533-position model. The record is from RNAcentral. Lineage: Bacteria; Bacillati; Bacillota; Bacilli; Caryophanales; Alicyclobacillaceae.